CCUAUCUCCUGGCUAUGUAAAUAACUUGAUCUAUUAAAUUUUCAUUAAUUUUUUUAGGAAGAAAGAAGAUAGAUUUCAUGUUAUUGAAUUUGCACGGGAUAUGAAAAAUAUGAAAUUUAGUUGCUGAUUUGGAUGAUGGAACCAAACUCAAAGGAAUUUGAUCAGCUGGUGUCACAUACUUACUAUCUCUCAAGACAAACUGUAAUUGCUGUCUGUAAUUUGACUCUGAUUAUAACAAAAUAUAGAAG
This 248-nucleotide long non-coding RNA is filed under the name Ursus maritimus (polar bear). RNAcentral's name for it is "lncRNA (ENSUMAG00000015502.1)". The record is from RNAcentral. Lineage: Eukaryota; Metazoa; Chordata; Mammalia; Carnivora; Ursidae.